AGGGAAAUUUGUAAAGUUACUGCUAAUAAUUUUCUGUCCAUUUAAUUGCGACUUUCCCUU
This 60-nucleotide transfer RNA is filed under the name Testudotaenia sp. WL-2016. RNAcentral describes it as "tRNA-Ser". The record is from RNAcentral. Lineage: Eukaryota; Metazoa; Platyhelminthes; Cestoda; Proteocephalidea; Proteocephalidae.